AACAUCGCGCACCUGCGGGAACCUGCGGAAGGAUCAUUACAGAGUUGCAAAACUCCCUAAACCAUUGUGAACGUUACCUAAACCGUUGCUUCGGCGGGCGGCCCGGGUCCUUCCCGGCGCCCCUCGGCCCUCGCGGGCGCCCGCCGGAGGUAAACCAAACUAUUGCAUUGUAUGGCCUCUCUGAGUCUUCUGUACUGAAUAAGUCAAAACUUUUAGCAAUGGAUCUCAGAUCGGAAGAGC
This 240-nucleotide unclassified non-coding RNA is filed under the name soil metagenome. RNAcentral describes it as "partial contains 5.8S ribosomal RNA, internal transcribed spacer 2, and large subunit ribosomal RNA". The record is from RNAcentral.